AGUCGUAACAAGGUAUCCGUAGGUGAACCUGCGGAUGGAUCAUUUCCACUAUCAAAAAAAAGAGGGCCUUGGAGUGUCUGUUUGGCGGAACAAGCGAGAAGUGCUUUAUUGAACUCUUGUUUGUUUCGCUAUCAAGGACAGCAUUUUGAGUGUUCUCUUUUUUUUUCAAUUACAAACCAAAUAACGUGAAUUGAAAUUGUACAUGACAUUUUUACAAACCAAAAAGUUGCGAAUUUUGAGCAUUCGUGUUCAAUGCAAAACUUUUUCGGAUUGAAACAAAUAGAAUUGGUCUUGAUAAUAAAACAACAUAACCAAAAACAACUCUUAACAACGGAUGUCUUGGUUCUC
Molecule: unclassified non-coding RNA, 348 nt
Filed under: fungal sp.
Lineage: Eukaryota; Fungi
Description: partial internal transcribed spacer region
Rfam family: Eukaryotic small subunit ribosomal RNA (bases 1-45)
Source: RNAcentral